UACGAAGGGGGCUAGCGUUGUUCGGAUUUACUGGGCGUAAAGCGCACGUAGGCGGAUCGUUAAGUCGGGGGUGAAAUCCUGGAGCUCAACUCCAGAACUGCCUUCGAUACUGGCGAUCUUGAGUCCGAAGAGGUGAGUGGAACUCCUAGUGUAGAGGUGGAAUUCGUAGAUAUUAGGAAGAACACCAGUGGCGAAGGCGGCUCACUGGUCCGGUACUGACGCUGAGGUGCGAAAGCGUGGGGAGCAAACAGG
This 252-nucleotide ribosomal RNA is filed under the name uncultured bacterium. RNAcentral describes it as "partial 16S ribosomal RNA". It matches the Rfam family "Bacterial small subunit ribosomal RNA", at positions 524 to 776 of the family's 1533-position model. The record is from RNAcentral.